UACGAAGGGGGGCUAGCGUUGCUCGGAAUCACUGGGCGUAAAGGGUGCGUAGGCGGGUCUUUAAGUCAGGGGUGAAAUCCUGGAGCUCAACUCCAGAACUGCCUUUGAUACUGAGGAUCUUGAGUUCGGGAGAGGUGAGUGGAACUGCGAGUGUAGAGGUGAAAUUCGUAGAUAUUCGCAAGAACACCAGUGGCGAAGGCGGCUCACUGGCCCGGUACUGACGCUGAGGUGCGAAAGCGUGGGGAGCAAACAGG
Molecule: ribosomal RNA, 254 nt
Filed under: uncultured bacterium
Lineage: Bacteria
Description: partial 16S ribosomal RNA
Rfam family: Bacterial small subunit ribosomal RNA
Source: RNAcentral